RNAcentral lists this ribosomal RNA (253 nucleotides) under uncultured bacterium. RNAcentral's name for it is "partial 16S ribosomal RNA". It matches the Rfam family "Bacterial small subunit ribosomal RNA", at positions 524 to 776 of the family's 1533-position model. The record is from RNAcentral.
UACGUAGGUGACCAGCGUUGUCCGGAUUUACUGGGCGUAAAGAGCGCGCAGGCGGUCGUUCAAGUCGAGUGUGAAAGCCCCCGGCUCAACUGGGGAGGGUCACUCGAUACUGAUCGACUUGAAGGCAGGAGAGGGAAGCGGAAUUCCCGGUGUAGUGGUGAAAUGCGUAGAUAUCGGGAGGAACACCUAUAGCGAAGGCAGCUUACUAGGCUGUAACUGACGCUGAGGCACGAAAGUGUGGGGAUCAAACAGG